GACGAACGCUGGCGGCGUGCUUAACACAUGCAAGUCGAACGGAAAGGCCCUGCUUUUGUGGGGUGCUCGAGUGGCGAACGGGUGAGUAACACGAGAGUAACCUGCCCUUGACUUUGGGAUAACUUCAGGAAACUGGGGCUAAUACCGGAUAGGAGCUCCUGCUGCAUGGUGGGGGUUGGACAGUUUCGGCGGUUGGGGAUGGACUCGCGGCUUAUCAGCUUGUUGGUGGGGUAGUGGCUUACCAAGGCUUUGACGGGUAGCCGGCCUGAGAGGGUGACCGGCCACAUUGGGACUGAGAUACGGCCCAGACUCCUACGGGAGGCAGCAGUGGGGAAUAUUGCACAAUGGGCGGAAGCCUGAUGCAGCAACGCCGCGUGCGGGAUGACGGCCUUCGGGUUGUAAACCGCUUUCGCCUGUGACGAAGCGCGAGUGACGGUAAUGGGUAAAGAAGCACCGGCUAACUACGUG
Molecule: ribosomal RNA, 468 nt
Filed under: uncultured bacterium
Lineage: Bacteria
Description: partial 16S ribosomal RNA
Rfam family: Bacterial small subunit ribosomal RNA
Source: RNAcentral